This 825-nucleotide unclassified non-coding RNA is filed under the name Hevea brasiliensis (rubber tree). Lineage: Eukaryota; Viridiplantae; Streptophyta; Magnoliopsida; Malpighiales; Euphorbiaceae. The record is from RNAcentral.
AUUAUUAUUAUUAUUAUUAUUUUGAGAAUAAAGCAAAUUUAAUAAAACCAACGAAAACAAGAAACAUCCAAGUUUGCAGUGUAAGAAACAAAAGAUGGCAUUUCUUCAAGCCAAAUAUCCUCAUCAGAGGAGGUGAUUGCAUCCUUGGCAAGAGCAUGCACUAGCUGGUUUGCUCUGCGUGGAACAUAGGCAAAGCUGAUAUCGUUGAAAGAAGUUGCAGCAGUGAUGGUGUCUUCAACACAUAGCGCUUGUAGAGGAGAAAAAGCAAUACUUCUGUUCAGAGCUCUGAUGUUAGAGAGGCUGUCGCUGUUAACAACGAUACUACAGAAGCCUACACUGCUGAUAGAGCUAACUGAACACCAUAUCAAACAGCAUGUGCCUCUGCCAACUUGGAGUCCCAUGUAGACCUAAAGCCCUUUCAACACAAUUCCUAUGUCAUCCCUUGCUGCAAUACCCAUACUAACAUGACCAGACUCCACACAGGCAGUUUCAAUAUUUAACUGAUAAAGGUGAUCUGGUGGUGGCAUCCAGGAUUCUCGGAUAUGAUGUCUCUCUGAGAUCUCACUUCAGUCACAGGCAUUCUUAAAUUCCAGCCAUGAAGACAAGCCUCUGUUAAUAACCCUGAGAACGUCUGGAGUGAGCUUUUGAGCACUGCAUUGUUUCUCUCUUUCCAAAUGCUCCAAGCCAUCAUGGCCAAGAGCUCCACAUGCUCUUUGUCUUUCUCUUUAAACAACCACUGUAUAAUACAAGCUCCAGCUGAAAUCGCAAAGGGCAUAAAUACCAACACUAGUAGCAAAAGAGCAAUGGAAUAGUUUCUUCUUCUUA